UUCUAGAAGAAAACAGGACUCCACAGAAGACUGUCUAUAAGAAGAAAUAAAUAAUAAAUGGGAAGUAAAGCAAACAUAGUUAUACGUGACGAAGCUACCGUAUUGGAUGGCGCAAAUCAAGACUCUAGAGAGGGCGCCAUGGUUCACGGCUGUAAUCCCAGCACUUUGGGAGGCCGAGGUGGGUGGAUCACCUGAGAUCAGGAGUUUGAGCCGGGCAAACAUGGUGAAACCCCAUCUCUACUAAAAUACAAAAAUUAGCCAGGCGUGGUGGCGGGUGCCUGCAGUCCUAGCUGCUCAGGGGGCUGAGGCAUGAGAAUCACUUAACCCGGGGGGCGGAAGUUGCAGUGAGCCGAGGUCAUGCCACUACAAUCCUGCCUGGGCGACAGAGUGAGAUUUUGUCUCAAAAAAAAAAAAAAAAAAAAAAAAAGGAACUCAUAACUAAUCUGUACCUCUUUUUAUAAUGAGAAAUGCAGAAGUAAAGAUUAUUACAUUAUUUGUAAAUGAUUCCUUUAUACUGCAUUU
Molecule: long non-coding RNA, 522 nt
Filed under: Pan troglodytes (chimpanzee)
Lineage: Eukaryota; Metazoa; Chordata; Mammalia; Primates; Hominidae
Description: long non-coding RNA NONPTRT015266
Source: RNAcentral